UCGUAGUGACUGGGAAGGAUCAU
RNAcentral lists this ribosomal RNA (23 nucleotides) under Ourisia crosbyi. RNAcentral's name for it is "Ourisia macrophylla var. crosbyi partial 18S ribosomal RNA". The record is from RNAcentral. Lineage: Eukaryota; Viridiplantae; Streptophyta; Magnoliopsida; Lamiales; Plantaginaceae.